UUUUAUCUUAGUUAGUAUCAAGCACGAGAGGAACCGCAGGUUCAGACAGGUGUAUGUGCUUGGCUGAGGAGCCAAUGGGGCGAAGAUAACAUCUGUGGGAUUAUGACUGAACGCCUCUAAGUCAGAAUCCCCCCUAAACGUGACUAUACCACAGCGCCGCGGAGCCUCUAUCGGCCUAGGGACUGGAGCGCGCACAAAAGGGGGCCACCUCUCUCCCAAAACGCACCGCAUGUUCGUGGGGAACCUGGUGCUAAAUCAUUCGUAGACAACCUUAUUCUGGGUCAGGGUUUCAUGCGUAGCAGAGCAGCUACCUCGCUGCGAUCUAUUGAAAGUCAUCCCUUGAGCCAAGCUUUU
Xenopus laevis (African clawed frog) is the source of this 354-nucleotide non-coding RNA. The record is from Rfam. NCBI's taxonomy places the organism in Eukaryota, Metazoa, Chordata, Amphibia, Anura, Pipidae.